RNAcentral lists this long non-coding RNA (933 nucleotides) under Gossypium raimondii (Peruvian cotton). Its description in RNAcentral is "long non-coding RNA (GRAI_LNC007869)". The record is from RNAcentral. Lineage: Eukaryota; Viridiplantae; Streptophyta; Magnoliopsida; Malvales; Malvaceae.
GUAAAAGCUCCCUCUCCCAAAAAGCUCUAGCUUUUGUUCCUUUUAUUUAUUCAAUAAAAUUCCAUUUUUAUUAAGUUUAUUUCUUUUUCCCCAAAAAGCAUGAGCCACUAAAUUCAUCUAGCCAAAGGUUGUCGAAGAUUACCCAAAAAGGGUUCAUGAGGCUUAGAAUCCACACUUAACCUUCUCAACAAAUAUUCGUCAUUUCUCUGUAUUACAAGAUUGACGCUUCUAUCCAUGUCCCUUCAAAUGUGAUCUUUUCAUCUUGUGCAAAGGCGGCCGCUUUAUAUGUUUUGGGAAGGUUGCACAGUCGGUUCGUUAGCCUACUGCGUCAGUGUUUGUCAAGUCCAAGAGACAAAAUAGCGUGGCAUUCGCCAUUGAGAAGUGAUGAUCUAGUGUAAAACGGUUCCAUAAAAGUGACGAUUGGUUAGAGUCAGGUUCCUCUAUAUCGUGAGUCUAAAAUCUAAGUGGAGCUGGUGGUCAUAGGCGUCCUCUUCCACUAUAACUGGCUUAUUCUGUUAUGAUAAGGAUCAUCUAAAAGCCUAGGAUUGAACCUGAGGAGGAUCGAGAUAACCGGAGGCUGGAAUCUCUUUAUCAAAAACUCUAUUUUCUUAAUUCUGUUUAUUUUUACAGUUUCAAUUUCAAUUUAUGCAAUCUCAACUCAACCAAACUUUUAAUUUUGUUUUUUUAUUCUUUUCCAGGCACGCUAUUUUUAUUGGGCAAGACUUUGCUCGGGAUAUCGAGGAAGAGGAACCUGUGCAAGUCCAAUCCCUGAAGAUUUGACCCUACUUCCCUUAUACUAUUCUUUUCAUUAUUUUAUAGGGAUAUGAUACUUUUGGUGCUCUCAACGAUGCACCAAAUUUUGACACUGUUGCUGGGGACUAGUAACGUACUAAUCUUGCUCCUUUUGUUUCUUAUUACCAGAUCUGUUCCAAG